UACAGAGGUCCCAAGCGUUGUUCGGAUUCACUGGGCGUAAAGGGUGCGUAGGUGGUGAGGUAAGUCGGAUGUGAAAUCUCCGGGCUCAACCCGGAAAUGGCAUUGGAAACUACCUUGCUGGAGGAUUUGAGGGGGGAUUGGAAUACUUGGUGUAGCAGUGAAAUGCGUAGAUAUCAAGUGGAACACCAGUGGCGAAGGCGAAUCCCUGGAAAAUACCUGACACUGAGGCACGAAAGCGUGGGGAGCGAACAGG
Molecule: ribosomal RNA, 253 nt
Filed under: uncultured bacterium
Lineage: Bacteria
Description: partial 16S ribosomal RNA
Rfam family: Bacterial small subunit ribosomal RNA
Source: RNAcentral